This 75-nucleotide transfer RNA is filed under the name Caudoviricetes sp. RNAcentral's name for it is "tRNA-Arg". It matches the Rfam family "tRNA". From Rfam's summary of the family: Transfer RNA (tRNA) molecules are approximately 80 nucleotides in length. Their secondary structure includes four short double-helical elements and three loops (D, anti-codon, and T loops). Lineage: Duplodnaviria; Heunggongvirae; Uroviricota; Caudoviricetes. The record is from RNAcentral.
GCUCACGUAGCUCAGGCUGGAUAGAGCGUCACCCUCCGAAGGUGAAGGUCAAAAGUUCAAAUCUUUUCGUGAGCG